AUUCAGCCUUCCAGAAAGAGCAUCAAGGAAGGGAAAACGAAACUCAAGCUCGCUCAGGUUGCAGGAAAAGGGAGGGGUGUAGGCUGUAUACCGUGCAGAUUGUAUCCUUCUAUAUUGUGUGAUUAUCAAGACCAGGAUUCCUCUUGGAGUGGAAAUAUAAGCGUCUUGAAGAGUGGUAUUGAAGAAACUUAUGGUUAACUAUCUGCAAAAUUGCUCAAAUCAAAGAGAAAAUUCAAGGCAGCCCAAAAAAUCACAAAAAAUAUGGCAAAGCAAAACAAUGCCAGCAAAUCAGUUUGGGAAAAUGAUGAAAACUCAUCAUGGGAGCCCCCAGCGCCAUCUGCGAAAUACUGUCACCUAUCAGAUGAAGACAAGAAUGUCUUUUUUGGUAUCUUGAAACGUUUACUCCAGGUACCGUACACUCUGCAGGAUGGCCUAUGGGAUGAAACAGAAAAGAAUGGAAAAGUAUUCAAGCUGAUUUAUGGGAGAAAAGGCUGCAAGGUUAGUUGUGAGUGCAAAGGCAUUAAAAGUAGUAUGGUAGUGGCUUCGCUGGAUAUCUACCUCCUAUGGCGUGGAGACUAUAGAGAAGAGCUAAGCCUGAAAAAUCUCCAAACUGUGCAGAAUGAACUCAAGGCCCUUGGAGUUCAGGAUGAAAAAGUGCAUGCUUGUUUUUCUAUGGCGAAGCAUAGAUUUGUUCAAGAAAGUCCAGACAUUCAGAAAAAUGCCACCCUGAGCAUAUUUGAUGAAGUUAUUCUGAACUUUGGUCGGGGUUGCUUGAAAGAGAUUAUAGUUAUGUAUGAUGAAAAGGAGAGUACCCCUGUCUGUUACUGUAAAUAGCAUGACAAUGCCCAAGGCAUUUGAGUCCAUUUCCACUGUUCUCUUACAGCCACCUCUCUGUCUGCUCUUCCCAACAGACUUAUUUGUUAACCUUCUAAUCCUCAAGAUGAGGUGGAAUUGGUGUUUGGUUUUAUGUUUUUUUCUGAAAAUAAAACUGCUUGGUCUGUUAAUAAUGCC
Molecule: long non-coding RNA, 1011 nt
Organism: Anolis carolinensis (green anole)
Lineage: Eukaryota; Metazoa; Chordata; Lepidosauria; Squamata; Anolidae
Exons: 2
Source: RefSeq, a predicted model, not a curated record